Molecule: long non-coding RNA, 654 nt
Organism: Galleria mellonella (greater wax moth)
Lineage: Eukaryota; Metazoa; Arthropoda; Insecta; Lepidoptera; Pyralidae
Exons: 2
Source: RefSeq, a predicted model, not a curated record
UUGUUCCUACAACAAAAAAUUAAGUACUAAUUAAGUUUUAACAAAAUGUAACGAAAAGGGAACUAAGUUCAGUUGAAAUCAUCACAGAAACACUCAAAAUUAGCGACACAUCAAAACAUUCGAUUAAUUAAUUGAUUUUUUAUUUGUACUACUAUUGGACAAAUGUAUAGUGUCUUAUGGUUGGAUCAAAUAUUUGUUUACAUUUUUAUUAAGUUCUACUGAAACAGACUGUAGAUUUUUUUUUUCAAUAAAUGAUAAAUGAAAUGGUAUUACCGCAUACGUAAUAUCUAGUAUAGUCUAGUAUAGUCUAUGCUGGUGAAGUACCAGUAAGUAGUAAUAGGGGAGAAUGGAUACAGGUCGCCAAGCCUAUCAUAACAACUGAGAAAUCAACCACAAUAUUUUCAAAUAGAAUCACGGGAGAUCGACCUAAUAAAGAGGUUACGGAGGGUACCAGGGGAUGCAGUCUGCACUUGCCCAGAAAAACGCCAAGUUAUUGCGCCAGAGAAAUAUCCCAAAUCAAAAGGAUUAUCGAAGUCGAACACUGAUUCGUUGCAAAACCUAAGUAUAUCAACAACGAAAACAGUUACAAGAUUAUUUUUUCAAAUUUACAUUGAAUCCUAAAUGAAUAAAAUAAAAUAUCUGAUUCGGCUAAUA